UACGUAGGGGCCGAGCGUUGUCCGGAGUUAUUGGGCGUAAAGCGCGCGCAGGCGGCUUCGCGCGUCCGACGUGAAAGCCCCCGGCUUAACCGGGGAGGGUCGUUGGGUACGGCGGAGCUUGAGGGCGGGAGAGGGUGGUGGAAUUCCCGGUGUAGUGGUGAAAUGCGUAGAGAUCGGGAGGAACACCUGUGGCGAAGGCGGCCACCUGGGCCGACCCUGACGCUGAGGCGCGAAGGCGUGGGGAGCGAACGGGAUUAGAUACCCCGGUAGUCCACGCAGUAAACGAUGCAGACUAGGCGUAGGUGGACUUGACCCCAUCUGUGCCGGAGCUAACGCGGUAAGUCUGCCGCCUGGGGAGUACGGCCGCAAGGCUAAA
Molecule: ribosomal RNA, 376 nt
Filed under: uncultured bacterium
Lineage: Bacteria
Description: bacterial SSU rRNA
Rfam family: Bacterial small subunit ribosomal RNA
Source: RNAcentral